GCCCUUGUAAAUAAUCAAAGGUGUCACCUGCCCAGUGAUUUUUAAAGAAAAAUAAUAAAAUUAUUUUAAGAAAAUUAAAAGGACGCGGUAACCUUGACUGUGAUAAUGUAGCAUAAUCAUUCGCCAUUUAAUUGAUGGAUAGUAUGAAUGGUUUAACGAAUAUUACACUAUCUAAAAAAUAGAUCUCAUAAAAAUGAAAUAAUAGUUAAGAUGCUAUUUAAAAUUGUAAGACGAAAAGACCCUAUAGAGCUUAACUAUAAUCUUUUUUUAUUAACGAAAAUAAAUUUUUCUCAAUAGAAAGAUUGGUAGUUUAGUUGGGGCGACUAUUUUCUAAAAAUAACGAAAAUAAGCAAAAUUAAUAAAAUAAUUUAUUGUAUAAUUAACAAAUUUAACAAUUACAAAAGUAGGCUAUAAUGACCCGUUAUUGUUAUAUAAUAAAAAAUAACGAUUAAUGAAUAAAAGCUACCUUAGGGAUAACAGGAUAAUUUUAUCUAAGAGUCCUUAUCGAAGAUAAAGUUUGUCACCUCUAUGUUGAAUUAAGAUGUCCAAAUAGUGCAGAAGCUAUUAAAGGUAGGUCUGUUCGACCUUUAAAAUCUU
Molecule: ribosomal RNA, 597 nt
Filed under: Eudendrium merulum
Lineage: Eukaryota; Metazoa; Cnidaria; Hydrozoa; Anthoathecata; Eudendriidae
Description: partial 16S ribosomal RNA
Rfam family: Bacterial large subunit ribosomal RNA
Source: RNAcentral